Molecule: ribosomal RNA, 305 nt
Filed under: uncultured bacterium
Lineage: Bacteria
Description: bacterial SSU rRNA
Rfam family: Bacterial small subunit ribosomal RNA
Source: RNAcentral
UGUCCUACGGGAGGCAGCAGUAGGGAAUUUUCGUCAAUGGGCGCAAGCCUGAACGAGCGAUGCCGCGUGAAGGAAGAAGGCUUUCGGGUUGUAAACUUCUUUUCUCAGGGACGAAGCAAGUGACGGUACCUGAGGAAUAAGCCACGGCUAACUACGUGCCAGCAGCCGCGGUAAUACGUAGGUGGCAAGCGUUAUCCGGAUUUACUGGGUGUAAAGGGCGUGUAGGCGGGAAAGCAAGUCAGAUGUGAAAACCACGGGCUCAACCUGCGGCCUGCAUUUGAAACUGUUUUUCUUGAGUACUGGAG